This 1081-nucleotide long non-coding RNA is filed under the name Equus asinus (donkey). RNAcentral's name for it is "lncRNA (ENSEASG00005038674.1)". Lineage: Eukaryota; Metazoa; Chordata; Mammalia; Perissodactyla; Equidae. The record is from RNAcentral.
UUUAUUACAAGGACUUUUAAUUAGAGUUGGAGGCAGGGAUCUAGUCUUGGCUAAACAAUGAUUGACUACUGAUUCAAUCUUCAGAAAGUCCACAAUCAUCAGCCUUUGUGAUCAGGAUGUUUGUUCUGCUGACUUCUCAAACAAUUGCUUGUAAAACAAUUGCCAUUUUGGUCCAGUCCAAAGGUUUGGCCCAGUCAAAGGUUUGGCCCAGUCCGAGGUUCAAGACAACAAAGCAUUUUCUCUAGAAAGGCAAUUCCAAUCCAUCUUAAAAUGUCUCCACUAAAGUCAAUUUUGACAGAUGUAAAAGUGUGUUUCAGUUACUGAUUUUGCACCCUCUGUUCCUCAUUCAAGAAGUCCAUUCCCUCGGAAUAACGCAUUCUCCUGAAACCUGGAGCAUGAGAAAAGCCCAUGUUCAGCUAUGCGCUGUAGUAAAAUUGACUCACUUGCCAUUUAGUGAGGCUAACAAAGACUCCACAGAUACAUAAUACUACCACUACAUGCAGUUUCGUACGGCUACUGUAAUAAAUUAUCGUAAACUAGCUGGCUUACAACAGCAGAAGCGUAUUCUCUCACAGAAGUGACCAGAGCAGGAAGCUUUUACACCGUUUAGACAAAGAAACAAUACAUUUGUGAAGAACUGAUGAGACAAAGGUGUUUAGACUAUGGGUAGAAAAUGGUAAAGAAGUAACUAGAAAGGUAAGAGUUUGUUUAACAAGGUUUGUUUGCAGACUUCUCUGGUCUCUGGUCUGAUAAGAAAUUUACUCCAGUAAAAAGAGAAUUUACCUCCUACCUUUAGACAUAAAAGGGGAGCUUUAAUUGCAUUUUCCUACUUCUUAAUUGCCUUCAGCCUAAAAUAAUUUUUAUAUUCAAGGGGCAUAUUUUGGGGUGACACAUUCUGGUUUCCUUCAUGUACAUACUACUCUCUUCCUUGCUUGUCUCUCUCUCUUGUAUACCCUUUCCAAAAUUCCAAACCUGGAAAAAUACACUCUCUGCCUAUCCCAUGCCUUCACUCAAGCAGUUGAUGAUGGAUAGAAAAGAACUGGGAGGACUUACAUUAAAUUUAGAACUCAAAACUCAAGUG